Molecule: ribosomal RNA, 253 nt
Filed under: uncultured bacterium
Lineage: Bacteria
Description: partial 16S ribosomal RNA
Rfam family: Bacterial small subunit ribosomal RNA
Source: RNAcentral
UACAGAGGGGGCGAGCGUUGUUCGGAAUUACUGGGCGUAAAGGGUGUGCAGGCGGGGAAGCAAGUGGGGUAUGAAAUCUCCCAGCUUAACUGGGAUAGGUUAUGCCAGACUGCUUUUCUAGAGGACGAGAGAGGGGGGUGGAAUUCCGGGUGUAGUGGUGAAAUGCGUAGAGAUCCGGAGGAACCCCAGAGGCGAAGGCGGCCCCCUGGCUCGUACCUGACGCUCAGCCACGAAAGCAUGGGGAGCGAACGGG